This 245-nucleotide long non-coding RNA is filed under the name Olea europaea (common olive). Its description in RNAcentral is "long non-coding RNA (OEUR_LNC009438)". The record is from RNAcentral. Lineage: Eukaryota; Viridiplantae; Streptophyta; Magnoliopsida; Lamiales; Oleaceae.
CGGGACAUAUUAUUGGCAUUUUACUAUAAUUAUCGUAUGCAUCCGCUCCAUAGUCUCGAACAACAUUUGGACCUGCUAGACUGUAUUAUUGGGAUGUUAUGGGAGAUACACCAUAGUUUAAGGGAUAAGGUGAAGAUACAAAGGUUAUAUGAAACUGUUCCAGAACCUUGGGCUUCAGUCAUAAAUGAGAUUGUGCUAUGGUCUGAUGAUGACCUUUCGUAUGAGGACCUUACAUAUUUGCUUCG